This 1018-nucleotide ribosomal RNA is filed under the name uncultured Actinomycetes bacterium. Its description in RNAcentral is "bacterial SSU rRNA". It matches the Rfam family "Bacterial small subunit ribosomal RNA", at positions 355 to 1391 of the family's 1533-position model. The record is from RNAcentral. Lineage: Bacteria; Bacillati; Actinomycetota; Actinomycetes.
AUGGGAAUCUUGCGCAAUGGGCGAAAGCCUGACGCAGCAACGCCGCGUGCGGGAUGAAGGCCUUCGGGUUGUAAACCGCUUUCAGUGGGGACGUACCAAGACGGUACCCACAGAAGAAGCCCCGGCCAACUACGUGCCAGCAGCCGCGGUAACACGUAGGGGGCAAGCGUUGUCCGGAUUCAUUGGGCGUAAAGAGCUCGUAGGCGGUUCGAUAAGUCGGGUGUGAAACCUCCAGGCUCAACCUGGAGACGCCACCCGAUACUGUCGUGACUAGAGUCCAGUAGGGGAGCGUGGAAUUCCUGGUGUAGCGGUGAAAUGCGCAGAUAUCAGGAGGAACACCAGCGGCGAAGGCGGCGCUCUGGGCUGGCACUGACGCUGAGGAGCGAAAGCGUGGGGAGCGAACAGGAUUAGAUACCCUGGUAGUCCACGCCGUAAACGUUGGGUACUAGGUGUGGGGUCUUAUCAACGGAUUCCGUGCCGAAGCUAACGCAUUAAGUACCCCGCCUGGGGAGUACGGCCGCAAGGCUAAAACUCAAAGGAAUUGACGGGGGCCCGCACAAGCAGCGGAGCAUGUUGCUUAAUUCGAGGCAAACGCGAAGAACCUUACCUGGGUUUGACAUGGUAGGAAAAGCAUAGAGAUAUGGUGUCCUUUGGCUAUCACAGGUGGUGCAUGGCUGUCGUCAGCUCGUGUCGUGAGCUGUUGGGUUAAGUCCCGCUACGAGCGCAACCCUUAUCCUAUGUUGCCAGCGCGUAAUGGCGGGGACUCGUGGGAGACUGCCGGGGUCAACUCGGAGGAAGGUGGGGACGACGUCAAGUCAUCAUGCCCCUUAUGUCCAGGGCUGCAAACAUGCUACAAUGGCCGAUACAAAGGGCUGCGAAACCGCGAGGUCGAGCGAAUCCCACAAAGUCGGUCUCAGUUCGGAUCGGAGUCUGCAACUCGACUCUGUGAAGCGGGAGUUGCUAGUAAUCCCGGAUCAGCAACGCCGGGGUGAAUACGUUCCCGGGCCUUGUACACACC